UGGGGAAUAUUGCACAAUGGGCGCAAGCCUGAUGCAGCCAUGCCGCGUGUAUGAAGAAGGCCUUCGGGUUGUAAAGUACUUUCAGCGGGGAGGAAGGGAGUAAAGUUAAUACCUUUGCUCAUUGACGUUACCCGCAGAAGAAGCACCGGCUAACUCCGUGCCAGCAGCCGCGGUAAUACGGAGGGUGCAAGCGUUAAUCGGAAUUACUGGGCGUAAAGCGCACGCAGGCGGUUUGUUAAGUCAGAUGUGAAAUCCUCGGGCUCAACCUGGGAACUGCAUCUGAUACUGGCAAGCUUGAGUCUCGUAGAGGGGGGUAGAAGUCCAGGUGUAGCGGUGAAAUGCGUAGAGAUCUGGAGGAAUACCGGUGGCGAAGGCGGCCCCCUGGACGAAGACUGACGCUCAGGUGCGAAAGCGUGGGGAGCAAACAGG
This 429-nucleotide ribosomal RNA is filed under the name Chloroflexota bacterium. RNAcentral's name for it is "Chloroflexi bacterium partial 16S ribosomal RNA". It matches the Rfam family "Bacterial small subunit ribosomal RNA", at positions 355 to 776 of the family's 1533-position model. The record is from RNAcentral. Lineage: Bacteria; Bacillati; Chloroflexota.